Molecule: non-coding RNA, 634 nt
Organism: Oryctolagus cuniculus (rabbit)
Lineage: Eukaryota; Metazoa; Chordata; Mammalia; Lagomorpha; Leporidae
Source: RefSeq, a predicted model, not a curated record
GAUCUCCUGUUGAAGUCUUUUUUCCUGAAGAACUGAAACGAAUAGCAUCUAUUGGCAUGUGUGUCUGGAGGGUGUACUUGGGAGCUAUGCACCUGAUUUUAGCCCACUGAAAUCAGUCUCGUCUCUUCUCUCUUGGUGCAGUUCUGCAGCCUGGCCCACCACCCCCACCACAUGGCAGAUAACCAUGCACGUGUUUCAGGAGGAGCAUAGAUAGCACUUGUGAGAGCCAGGUUGGGUGAAAAGUGUCAUGUUCUCCAGCUCUCAGAGACCUAUGCUCAUGUUGCUGCUUCUGAUCCCACAGUUGCAGACAUCAAGAUGUGAAAAUAAAGAUCCAGGUGAUUACUUCUGAAUCUAGCAACACUGGACCUCUGAAUCAGGAAGAUCAGACAUCAUCAUGCCUCUCCAGGUACCUCUCCAAACUCUGUUGAGCUAAACACAGGCACCUUCAAAACAAGCCAAGCCAGGCAGAGCUUACAUUUUUGUUUUGCGAGUCUUACAUAUUAAUCUCUGAGACCAGACACAUCUGGGAUUAAGUGCUCUGGAUGGCACAUCAAAGCUCCUCAUUUCCGGUCACACAAUGCACCAGCUAUUAAUGACAGGCAGAUCUGAUCACGUCCCCUCUGCGCCCCAGGAU